Meriones unguiculatus (Mongolian gerbil) is the source of this 3979-nucleotide long non-coding RNA. RefSeq lists it as uncharacterized. The record is from RefSeq and is a predicted model, not a curated record. The transcript has 3 exons. Lineage: Eukaryota; Metazoa; Chordata; Mammalia; Rodentia; Muridae.
UCUAACUAACAAGAAAAGAAGGUCAUUGGCCACUCAGCAAAUACAUUACACAGGGCUUAUGAGCAGAAUCGGGGCUAAACAGAUAAGAUGGCUGGUGUGGAAGACAUCUUCCCAGAAAGCAGAAACCUUGUCUACACCACAGUAACCUGUUAAAGGGCCAGGCAUCAAGCUGCAUGCAUGCCUUCAGCACUAGCCUUUGGGAGGCAGAAACAGUUCUCUGCGAGUUCAAGGUCAGCAGGGUCUACAGAGUGAAACCCUGUCUCAGAGACAGAAAGACAGACUCAUCCCAUAAAUUCUGCUGCUCUGCAGAGCUGCUAGUGCAGCCACAGCCAUCUCUCUCUUGUGGCUACUGUUCUGGAGUGCCAACACCAGCUCACUCUAGACCCCCCACCACCACCUUGUUUUCAAGACCACGCUGGAUAUUCAGCUGAAGGCUGUCAAACACCUCUGCCUGCCUAAGCACGCCAUUUACACAGCGAAGUUCCUCAUAACUAGACUCCAAGGCUGGCCUGGGGUUCUCUGGCAGCAGACUGCCUGACACCAUUCCCGUCACGGCUUCCCGCUCCUCCUCUCAUUUCCCUGCGCGUCCACAAAUGCAGCCCCGGAGGCUGGGCUCCAAGAGAGCCCUGAUGGGGCUGUAGGAUCCAGCUGCCCUGGCCAGGACGGUCACCUCUGCCCUUGGGGACCCCAGACGGAUCAACAGGCACACGCUAACUCCACCUCCAUCAGACAGACAAGAAAUAAAGCUAAAGAAGUAGCAUUAACCUUAUUUACUCAGCUCUCCCUAAAAUGCAUAGAGAUACUCUUAAAAUAAUCCUGAUUAUUUUCAAUAUUCAAACAUAAUUACCACACCCCUUACUGAAGUACUCCUCCUCUCUGAGGGUUUGGAGACAAAAGUGAACCGAGAUAAAGGACGUACAGACACAUCCAGCAGGAGGCGGAAGAGCAGCAGUAACAGGCUCAAGACAAGACAUCAGGGUCCUGCUCAGCCAGGAGCCACCCACCACUCCCGGGUUCUUUUGCCCUCGGGCCUCUCAAUGACUUGGCUAGACCAGCUGUUGCGUGAGCCCAGGCUCCUCCUGUCUGCGCCUUGCCAUCCUCAGGUACAGACAUGCGUCUCAGGUCUUCAUGCUUGCAUAAGCAGCACUUGACAGGCCCCAGCCGUGUUACUUUCAAUGCACGGACAGAACGGAAACAGAAAGACAAGUACAGGCCUAACCCUGUCACAAGAUGACGGAAGCCACCCAUCUACCAAGCACUCCCAAAGCCCAGUGUGAACCAGCAUCUGUCCCGGCUGUGGGCCGAUGUGGAAAGCAGUAGGGGAAGUCGGGAGCAAAGGACAUAUUGGUUGGGCCUGCUCCACUAAGGCACCAAGCCCAGGCAAGAGCAAGGUGGCCGAGUGCAGCAGCCUGCCUAGAGCCCAUCUCCAACACCUAAGGCCUACUUCAGUCAUUGCAGCUCAUCUCUGACCCAGGGAACAAAACUCCACCUGAAACGCAAAACCGUGACACAGGGCCGAGGAGACAGAUUGGGAGUACUUGCUGCUCUUCUAGAGGACUCAGCCUCCCUCCCCAGCACCCACACUGAGCCUCACAGCUGCCUGCAACUGCAGUCCCAAGGGACCCAGAGCCCUCUGCUGAACCCUGCAGGACCCUGCUCCCUCAAGCUCCAGAAGACGCCAAGAUCAGCCACCCUGUCUCCAGUUCCAGAGAAAUGAGGCCUCGCUACAGCAGCUGUGUUCAACCCUACUGGAUUGGGUAUGUAUUUUUCCUCCUCUCUCUCUUGCCUGUUUCUGUCCAAGGUAAUUCCUACAAAUGGAGAUUCAAGAUUCAAGAAACUAUUGAUAAUAAACAGUCUCUCCAAAUAGGGCCGGGAAAUUGCUCUAUGGGAGACUGUCAGGAGCUGAUUGAAAUUGCCAUCACCCCCACAUCCAUCCCUCCUCUCUUAUUUGAUAGAAUUUUUGUUUGCUUCCUCUUUGAUCAAACAAAAGAUUAUUGCAAAAAAUGGCCAGACAGAUAUGGAGGCUGCCCAUAGGGUAUUGCCAAAUCCAUACACCAGCACAGAAGAAGCUUCUUCACCUGUACAAAAAGACUUUACUUAUACAUCCGAGACCCUUGGGAUCCCAGACAGGAAACAGGCAUCGUUGGAAAACUCUACCGCUGCUACACACCCAAUCUACAGAUAAGUACCAUCCAUAUCCAGAGAAAAUAUGCCCCAGUUACCCAAUCCCUGGGGAUGGGAGAAGUAGAGAAUUAAACACUCCUCUUUAACAUCCCCUCUCCUAAAUAAUACAAACCUGUCAUUUUGUCUCCUACUUCAGACUCUGAACACAGCCUAUAAGCUCCUCAUUGUGACCCAACGGUCACUUAAAGCUUGUGGCUGUGUCCCACCUGGGACCAACUCAGAACUACCGCUGACACCACCUUCUCCGGUGACUCUGUCAAGUAACCUUACUCCACCAUGCACUAAUUGCCCUGACUCUGAUGUUGCCACAACCCCCUACCUUUUUCACAUCACCCUCUUUGGCAUGGCAAGCUGUUUCAAGGCAUCCGGGACACACUCUGUAGGAAGGCUAAGUUUUAGAGUGUAAUAAAACUAUAAUCCUUGAUACCUCAUCUCAAUCCCAAAGCCCUGCUACUAAUAAUACCUCGAUUCUUUCUAGGUCUACUCUCUGCCUGCUGGCUGGUCAGGAGUGUGCACGCUGGUGCUCCUCUGAGCGUGGGUGAUAAAUGGAAAGGAGCCCUUACCAAUCCGGGUCGUGGACUCAGCAGCUGCCCAGCAGGAGAAGAGGGCAAUUCAAGUCUUGCCCCUCUGGCUGUUGCAGAAAUCACAGCAGCUGUCAGGACCUAGGCAGCAGGACUAGCCACUUCACUAACUUUGCAUUAUCAGCUUUCUUCCCAGUUCAUCCAGGACCUCCAGCAAGUGGCUCAGACAACACUAACUCCCCAAGGACAGAUCGACUCGCUGGCAGCAGUAGUACUUCAAAACUGACGAGGACUGGAUCUCCUCACAGCUAAAGAAGGUGUCCUUUCAGGGACUGUCUCUGACAUGAACUCAGUGGCUGGUUUUGCCCCCCACCCCCAGGGAGGAGCCGCCUUGCUAGGCCACAGAGCACACAGCAGCUAGUCCUGAUGAGCUAGGGUCACAUGGAAUGGGAGGAGGGCCUCCCCAUCAGUAGACUUAGAGAGGGGCAGGGAGGAAAUGAGGAAGGGAGGUUGGGAUUGGGAGGGAAUGAGGAAGGGGCUAUAGCUGGGAUACAAAGUAAAUAAACUAUAGUUAAAAAAAAAAAAAGGUGGCCUUUGCCAUCUUCCUCCAGGAAAGCAUAGUAAAAGACAAACUCCAACAACUCCAGACAAAUCUACAAAAGCGAAGGAACAGCUGGAGGCCUCUAGCUCUUAGGUCUUCGAGAAUCCCAUAUGGAAAUGGAUUCUGCCCUUCCUCACACCUCUUCUGCUGUCUUUCUGCUUUUGCUUUUUGUACCCUGCUUUAUUAACUUCUCUACAUUCCUCUAACAACAAAUACAGAAAUUCUCUAACCAAACCAUUAAUCAGUUACUCUUACAGGAUUAUCAACCUCUGCCCAUAGAACCAGAUGACAAUGACCUUCCAAUCAACCCUGAUGGUGGGAACCAGCUAUACCCUGAGAAUGACUAUGCCCCUAAUCAGCAGGAAAUAGAUUGAAAAGCAAAGGUCGCCCCUAUGCCCUCCCAACCUUAACCCCUUUCCUAGCUCCUUUUUAAUAAAAAGGGAGGAAUAUUGGGACUUGUAAGCAGGCAUCUCUACGGCCAGCCCGAGGGACCUGACAAAUGGGACAUCGGGCAUCUGUGAGGCCACCUAUGGACCACCUGAACCCACCUGCACAUGCUCUGGGCCACCUUAUAAGAGAACUUGCACCACUCUCUCUCCCCUCCCCCUCCUCCCCCAUCCAGGGACGUCUCUGUGACCCCCCUCCUCCUUUCCCUAAUAAAACCUCCCACGUG